Long non-coding RNA from Oreochromis niloticus (Nile tilapia), 402 nucleotides. RefSeq lists it as uncharacterized. Lineage: Eukaryota; Metazoa; Chordata; Actinopteri; Cichliformes; Cichlidae. The transcript is spliced from 3 exons. The record is from RefSeq and is a predicted model, not a curated record.
GUCCGAUGAGGCGCAUGCUGCUCUCGUGCCCUCUGCGAGCUGGAAAUUCGGGAGUCUUGUAGCGGUACGAGCGUGAAGCUGAGCUGAAUUCGACAGCCAUUCGCCAUUACGUGAACCCCUCUGGCUGGUUUGUUUGCCCUUUUGAUACCCUGGAUCCUACUGGAUGAACUGCCUUAUGGAAGCCCUCAUCUGAUGACUCCGCUGAAUCGUCCUGGCCGGUAGAUGGUCGUUGCUGCGGGUGGAUGCUUCUGCUUGCUGGAUGCUAUUAUUGGAUGCUACACCGUUCCAACAGAGCGGUAGGAACAAUUCAAAGGGCCCCAACGAUGCACUUUACUUUUCCCUGAGCUCAGGUGGUUUUCUUUUGGCCAAAGAACCUUAAAGCAUACAUAUUUGCAUUUAUUU